AUGGAAGGGCUCCUCCACUGGGACUUCAACCCCGGCCUUAAGGUCGAGGACCAGGUUCGUAGGCGCUUCAGAUCCACGGUCCAUUUCUCCCCGGAUUCUUCCUCCAAGGAAUUUUUCUUGGCGGCCACGUUCUCUUCUGCAUCUUAUCCCUUGACAUGUGCUUCGGUUGGUUUGGCCUUACAAUGUUGCAUUGGA
RNAcentral lists this ribosomal RNA (195 nucleotides) under Triticum aestivum (bread wheat). RNAcentral describes it as "partial small subunit ribosomal RNA". The record is from RNAcentral. Lineage: Eukaryota; Viridiplantae; Streptophyta; Magnoliopsida; Poales; Poaceae.